Vespula pensylvanica (western yellowjacket) is the source of this 1222-nucleotide long non-coding RNA. RefSeq lists it as uncharacterized. The record is from RefSeq and is a predicted model, not a curated record. The transcript has 2 exons. NCBI's taxonomy places the organism in Eukaryota, Metazoa, Arthropoda, Insecta, Hymenoptera, Vespidae.
UAAUAAAAUUUGAUAAAAUUCUUUUAUAAAUUUCUAUUUGGUUUAUAUUAUAGUUUCAUUCGUGGGGUAACAAAAAUUAUAACAUUUGGUUGUUCGUGAAUCUAUCCCACUUUCGCAUAUCAUUUUGCAUAGAACCAAAAAGUUGGAAUACUGCUGACCUGAAUGAUAUACGCAGCAAGGGUUGCUAUAAAAGUGUAUUAAAGGUUAUAAAAGUCACACGUCAUUUAUCUUAUUGAUAAUAUGAAAUAGAGAAGAUUAAGGACAGUUCACAACAUGUCCUCAGGUUCCAGUUUUAAUCUUUUCUCUAGAUCGUCUUCCUAUUCGGAACUCCUUUAAAAUUUGAUUGAACAACUGUGUCCCCUUCCUUCCUUUCUUUUUUCUCGUUAAGUACAUUACUUUGCUUCUAUUACGUGGUUCUGCCUUGAGGAGGUAUGAUUAGUUACGUCGGCGAUUCAAUUCAACAUAAACAACUUAUUCAAUUCUAUUCGAAUCCUACUUAUUCGAGCAAAAAAUUCCAUUUUGAUACACGUUCCGCCUAUCUCGUCAAACAGCCCUCUGAUAGCUUUUCUGAUCUCAAUCGAUCAUAUCCUCUAGCUAAAGCUACCUACCUAUGGAUCUUUUGAAAAAAGUAUUUCGUUUCCUCGUUCCAUUAUUCGAAUAAACUUAUGUAAAACAACGUCAUAUUAGUCUUGUUAAAGUUCGCUGUCACUUUCAUAAAUUUUGUCUUCUUUCUCGUUAAUCUCGAUCACAUAAUGAAUACGGUAUGGAUCUUUACGAAUCACCUAAAACAAGAUCGACGUUUGACAUGGAAAUACCUUUCCUUUACAUCCAGUACCUUGAUUUAUAAUAUUCCCAAUAGUUUUGGAAGUUACUGAUAAUCUUAAACAGUAUAAUUUCGCCGAUCCUGACCAUUACUAUGUAAUUUAAUGUGUGCUUUCCACGCAUGAGGUAUAUAGAUAUUUUUUUUGUUUUUCUUUUUUUCUGAAUUCAUGCUAAAUUAAAGCAUCAUGUCAUUACCGAUGAAUUGUAACAAAAAAUUCAAAAUGUUAAAUUACAUCGUUUUAAAUGAUAACACCUGACAACUUAAAAGUUAAAUGCUUGAUAUUCCAUAGGAUCAUGGUAGAUGAAGAAUUAUGUUUUUGACGAAGGAUUAUUCGAAAUAUUUCUCUUACAAAUGUAAUUUUUAAUUUGUUUAAUAGAAUAAAGGAAUUUUACAAAAAGA